UGGGGAAUUUUGGACAAUGGACGCAAGUCUGAUCCAGCCAUGCCGCGUGCGGGAAGAAGGCCUUCGGGUUGUAAACCGCUUUUGUCAGGGAAGAAACGAGUUUCUCUAAUACAGAGACUUAAUGACGGUACCGUAAGAAUAAGCACCGGCUAACUACGUGCCAGCAGCCGCGGUAAUACGUAGGGUGCAAGCGUUAAUCGGAAUUACUGGGCGUAAAGCGUGCGCAGGCGGUUAUGCAAGACAGAUGUGAAAUCCCCGGGCUCAACCUGGGACCUGCAUUUGUGACUGUAUAGCUAGAGUACGGUAGAGGGGGAUGGAAUUCCGCGUGUAGCAGUGAAAUGCGUAGAUAUGCGGAGGAACACCGAUGGCGAAGGCAAUCCCCUGGACCUGUACUGACGCUCAUGCACGAAAGCGUGGGGAGCAAACA
This 427-nucleotide ribosomal RNA is filed under the name uncultured bacterium. RNAcentral's name for it is "bacterial SSU rRNA". It matches the Rfam family "Bacterial small subunit ribosomal RNA", at positions 355 to 774 of the family's 1533-position model. The record is from RNAcentral.